Transfer RNA from Blastocystis hominis, 89 nucleotides. It matches the Rfam family "tRNA". Rfam says of the family: Transfer RNA (tRNA) molecules are approximately 80 nucleotides in length. Their secondary structure includes four short double-helical elements and three loops (D, anti-codon, and T loops). The record is from Rfam. NCBI's taxonomy places the organism in Eukaryota, Bigyra, Opalinata, Blastocystidae.
CCGAGCUUAGCUCAGUUGGUAGAGCGUUAGACUGUAGUGGCUGCUUCGCAGCAAUCUAAGGGUCGCUGGUUCGAUUCCGGCAGCUCGGA